This is a long non-coding RNA of Macaca fascicularis (crab-eating macaque), 1731 nucleotides long. The record is from Ensembl. NCBI's taxonomy places the organism in Eukaryota, Metazoa, Chordata, Mammalia, Primates, Cercopithecidae.
AUGUCUGAGGCUACACGGCUUCUGCAGGUUUCUUUUGGGACACAUGUCUUUGAACCCCUGAGCUGUGAUGUCAGAAACCCAGCCAUCCUUAAACCACCAUGCCGCACAAUCCAUGAAGACAAAUCACCAAGAGAUGAAAAGAAAUGCCUGAGGAGCUCCAGCUGUUUGAGCUCAAAGCUAGCAUCAUCAUCAACACCUGCCUCAGCAUCUGUAUCAGUAUCAAUACCUGCUUCAGCACCUGCAUCAGCAUCAACACCUGCAUCCACAUCUGCACCAACAUCUGCACCAUCAAUACGUGUAUCAGCAUCAGCACCUGCAUCAGCAACACCUGCUUCAACAUCUGCAUCAACAUCUGCACCAACAUCAAUACCUGCAUCAGCUUCAGCACCUGCAUCAGCAUCAAUACCUGCAUCCACAUCUGCAUCAACAUCUGCACCAACAUCAAUACCUGAUCAGCAUCAGCACCUGCAUCAGCAUCAACACCUGCUUCAACAUCUGCAUCAACAUCUGCACCAACAUCAAUACCUGCAUCAGCUUCAGCACCUGCAUCAGCAUCAACACCUGCAUCCACAUCUGCAUCAACAUCUGCACCAACAUCAAUACCUGAUCAGCAUCAGCACCUGCAUCAGCAUCAACACCUGCAUCCACAUCUGCAUCAACAUCUGCACCAACAUCAAUACCUGUUCAGCAUCAGCACCUGCAUCAGCAUCAACACCUGCAUUAGCAUCUGUAUCAGCACCAAUACCUGCUUCAGCACCUGCACCAUCAAUACCUGCAUCCACAUCUGUAUCAGUACCCACACCUGCUUCAGCAUCUGCAUCAGCACCUGCAUCAGUAUCAACACCUGCAUCAGCAUCUGUAUCAGCACCAACACCUGCUUCAGCACCUGCAUCAACACCUGCAUCCACAUCUGCAUCAACAUCUGCACCAUCAAUACCUGUUCAGCAUCAGCACCUGCAUCAGCAUCAAUACCUGCAUCAGCAUCUGUAUCAGCACCAACACCUGCUUCAGCACCUACACCAAUACCUGCAUCCACAUCUGUAUCAGUACCCAUACCUGCUUCAGCAUCUGCAUCAGUAUCAACACCUGCAUCAGCAUCUGUAUCAGCACCAAUACCUGCUUCAGCACCUGCAUCAACACCUGCAUCCACAUCUGCAUCAACAUCUGCACCAACAUCAAUACCUGUUCAGCAUCAGCACCUGCAUCAGCAUCAACACCUGCAUCAGCAUCUGUAUCAGCACCAACACCUGCUUCAGCACCUGCACCAUCAAUACCUGCAUCCCCAUCUGUAUCAGUACCCAUACCUGCUUCAGCACCUGCAUCAGCACCUGCAUCAGUAUCAACACUUGCAUCAGCAUCUGUAUCAGCACCAAUACCUGCUUCAGCACCUGCAUCAGCAUCAGCACCUGCAUCAGCAUCACUACCGGCAUCAGCAUCUGCGCCUGCAUCAACACCUGCUUCAGCAUCAGUACCUGCCUCAGCAUCAGUACCUGCUUUAACAUCAGCAGCUGUAUCAGCAUCAGUAUCUGCAUCACCACCUGCUUCAGCAUUUGCACCUGCAUCUGCAUCAGUGUCUGCCUCAGCAUCAGCACCAGCACCUGCCAGCAUCUGCAUCAUUAUCUGCAUCAGCCCCUGCCUCAGCAUCAGCACCUGUAUCAGCACCUGCAUCAGCAUCUGCAUCAUUAUCUGCAUCACCAUCAUCAUUUGUAUUGGCAUCAGCAUCAUCUGUGA